Non-coding RNA from Oryza sativa Japonica Group (Japanese rice), 4257 nucleotides. NCBI's taxonomy places the organism in Eukaryota, Viridiplantae, Streptophyta, Magnoliopsida, Poales, Poaceae. The record is from RefSeq and is a predicted model, not a curated record.
UAUUAUUCCUCCCCUUUGAGCAUUAUUAUCCUAUAUUCUAUAUCUCUAUUAUUCCAUGCAUUACCCAUUCAUGAUUUUAAAUGCAUAACUUGAACAUAUAGCAAACCAGAUAUAUGCUAGAUUUUGCUUAGCCAUGCCUAGUUAGAUUGCAUAAAAUAUAACGAACUUAGAUUGGAACAGUACGGUAGAAAUGCAUGAUUUCCGGGUGGCUCAUACUGUUCCAACCGACAUAAGAUUGCCAAGUACAUCUGAAGAACGAACGAGUACGACCGCCAAUUCUAGAAUGGGGACAGACUUAGCAAAGUAGGUUAUCUAGCAAAGGUGGUACCUCUGUACAGUGGUUCUUCUUUAAGUCCUCACGCAGGAGGCAAAUUUACGCCGAGCAGGGCGAUUAUAAUAUUUACCGAGGCACAGGUAAAUAUAUUGAUUAUUGCGCGCUGUGUGUGUAUUGUGAAAACCUGGUUGGGAUGACGGGGGUCUCUCAACCAAUUCUCUCUCUAAAAACCUCGGGAACGCCAGAACUCCUCUCGCUGCUGAUAACGUUAUGUUCAGAGCGCAUGAGGAUGAGAGUUCAUGGAACAGAUGCCACUGAUGUUAGUAACCGAAAAGUUUUGCCAUGACUAAGCUGAUGAAUAUUAGCAUGUCAUGGAUGGCGGGUAAAGCAUACAUCUACUGUAGUAUGAGUAUUUCUGAAACUAUUCGAAUAGCCGUGCUCACGGAUAUUAAGCAUCGGGACUCACUAUGGCAUCUUGGUUAGAAAUAUAACUCCAGAUUUUAUUAAAUAUUGUUGCAUUCAAAACAUUAUAGAAUUUCUCCUUCUACUUUCUUAGCUUUCUGCAAAUAGAUCUAGCCACUACGCGAGACCAUGUCAUCUCUGACGGGCCCAAACCCUCACCUUUGACAGGUUUGAUGAAUAUUAGCAUGUCAUGGAUGGCGGGUAAAGCAUACAUCUACUGCAGUAUGAGUAUUUCUGAAACUAUUCGAAUAGCCGUGCUUACGGAUAUUAAGCAUCGAGACUCACUAUGGCAUCUUGGUUAGAAAUAUAACUCCAGAUUUUAUUAAAUAUUGUUGCAUUCAAAACAUUAUAGAAUUUCUCCUUCUACUUUCUUAGCUUUCUGCAAAUAGAUCUAGCCACUACGCCGGACCAUGUCAUCUCUGACGGGCCCAAACCCUCACCUUUGACAGGUUUGGUCUUGGUCAGUGAUUAGUGGUCACUGAUGACAAAAUCACCUGUGACGGGUGUGUCAUCUCUGACGGGAUAAAACUUGUCACCCAUCACAUAUGAGUUAUCAGUGACGUGUCGUAACUACCUGUCCGUCACUGAUGACUCAUCUCUGACGGGUUGUAACUUACGACCCGUCAGUGAUGACAAAGCAAGAAAUACAAUUUUUGAAUUUUAAACGCAACAAAAAAACCUCAAAAAAAUAUUUUGAAUUUUACUAGCCAUCCUAUACAUGGUCACACAUCAACUACCUACAAAUUCACAAUUUUUUACGCAAUAUAACUUGUAUGCUACACAUGAGAUUCGAACUCAAGACCUCAACCUCCAUAUAGAGCUCCCUUACCAACUCACCUACUCAACAAAUAUUGACUACUCACCCAAUGUUAUUAUUUUGUCUAUGCUUGUCUGAAUCAUUUAACAUAUAUUUAACACCCUAAAUGACUUCAAAUGAAAAUAUUAUCAACUAAAUAGUUAUAGAUCUCAUCGUGUUUUAUAACUUUUACAUAGAAAAUAUCUUCAUUCGAUGUUGUUUGAAGAAUUCAAAAUUUCAUUUUUCAAAAUAUAUCUCACUUUAUAACAUGUAAACUUUGUGAAAUGAAAAUAUUUUCAAUUAUAAUAUUGUAGAUCUGGUUGAGUUCUAUGACUUUGAUACGGGGCAUGUAUCCAUCCAUGUCAUUUGAAAAAAACUCAAAAUUUUGUUUUUAAAAGUAGAUCUGAUCACUUGUAAUGCAUGUUCGGGGAUGUAAAUGAUCUCUAAUAGAAAUGUUGUUAGUUAUAAAGUUGUGGAUAUCAUCGAGAGCUACAACUUUUAUAUAGGACAUGUCUCAAUCCGAGGUUUUUUGUAAAAUUUGAAAAUUUGAAUUUUCACUCAUCACUAACGGGUCAUGACUACCACCCGUCAGAGAUAACGUUAUCUGUGACGUAUGUUAGUUAAAGACCCAUCAGAGAUAAGUGGUCUCUUUUGUGAUGGUUCAUAAUACUACACCCGUCACAGAUGAUCUGUGACGAGCCAUUGUUGUGACCCGUCACAGACGAUCUGUGACGGGUUACAAGUGCAAGCCGUCACAGAUGACCUCACAUCUGUGACGGGUCCUCCCUGGUAGCCAUAUAUUGAAGAGGAUAUUUUUUCGGCCCGUCAGAGAUGACUCAUCUUUGACGAAUUGUGUUGGCCCGUCACAAAUGACCCGUCACUGAAGCCCAGAUCUGUAGUAGUGCUCUACUCAAAUACUAUUAUUUCAUACAUUCAUACUUGAAUAUAAUAGCUUGCUGAGUACGUUGUACUCACCCUUGCUUUAACCCCCUUCUUUCAGAGUUAAUUUGGAGUUCUUGCCGAAGCCGAGAGUUCAAUCAUAUAAGUUAGUUUCCUUUCAACCUAGUUCUCAAGUCUAGAUUAGUUAGAUGGUUUAAGUCUAUAGCAAAACAUUAGGAUUGAGUCAUUCUAUAGCUUCUGUUGUAUUAGUUAGCCACAAUUUGCCACAAUUUUGUAAAUUCCCCUAUUAUUUUGUAAUAUCAACUCCUUUGGAGCCUUAUUCUAAUAUAUGCAAUGAAGAUCCAGAUUGUUAAACCUGUAACAAUCUACUGAUCUAGGGCUUGAUACAGUCUAAACAUGUCGGUUUCUUUAGUCUAUAUGCCCCUUCUCUCUCUCUAUGCUGUUACACGGGAAGGAGAGGAGGAAGAUGACGGGAGGAAGAAGAAGAAAGAAAAGAAAAAGAAAAAGAAAGACUGACAGUAGAGUCUAUUAUAUUCUGGAUGGCAACCUGAGGUAUUUCUAGCAUCGGAUAAUCAGGUUGCCUAUCUUGGAUUUAUUUGCGUUGGAGCAAAGCAAGUUAUUAUUCCUCCCCUUGAGCAUAAUUAUCCUAUAUUCUAUAUCUCUAUUCUAUGCAUUAGUCAUUCAUGAUUUUGAAUACAUAACCUGAACAUAUAGCAAACCAGACAUAUGCUAGCUUUGCUUAGCCCUGCCUAGUUAGUCUGCAUAAAAAUAUAAUGAACUUAGAUUGGGACAGUACGUAGGAAUUGGUUGAUUUUCGGGUGGCUAGUACUGUCUCAGUCAAUAUAGUUAUUACCAAGUACUUAUGUCAAACGAACGAGUACGACCGCAAUUUUAGAAUAGGGACAGACCUUGCAAAGUAAGUUAUCUAGCAAAGGUGGUACCUCUAUACAGUGGUUCUUAUUUAAGUCCUCGCUCAGGAGGCAAACUUAUGCCGCGAAGGGCAUAUGCCACGAAGGGCAAAUAUAACAUUUACUGAGGCGCAGGUAAAUGAUAUGUUGAGCUCAAGUGUGUGUAUAUUGUGAAAACCUAGUUGAGAUGACGGGGGUCUCUCAACCAGUUCUCUCUCUAAAAACCUCGGGAACGCCAGAACUCCUCUCGCUACUGAUAACGUUACGUUCAGAGCGCAUUAGGAUGAGAGUUCAUGGAACAGGUACCACUGAUGUUAGUAACCGAAAAGCUUUGCCAUGACUAAGCUAAUGAAUAUUGGCAUGUCAUGGAUUGCGGGUAAAGCGUACAUUUACUGCAGUAAAGUAAAAAUGAAUCUAUUCGAAUAGCCGUGCUCAUGGAAUUGAGUAUCGGGACUCAGAUGGUACUUUGGUUAGAAACUUAAUUCAAGAUUUUACUAAAUGCUGCUGCAUUUCAAGCAUCAGGCUUUCUAUUUCUAUAUUCUCUGCCUUCUGCAAGUAAUCGUAAUCCUACUCAAAUAUUACCUUUUCAUACAUUCAUUAUUGAAUAUAAUAGCUUGCUGAGUACGUUGUACUCAUCCUUGCUUCAACCCCCUUUUUCCAGAGUUAAAUUGAAGUUCUUGCUGAAGCCAGGAGUUCAAUCAUAUAAGUUAGUCUUAUUUCAACCUAGUUCUCAAAUCUAGAUUAGUUAGAUGGUUUAAGUCUAUAGCAAAACAUUAGAGUUGAGUCAUUCUAUAGCUUCUGUUGUGAUAGUUAGCCACAAACUUGCAAAUUCCCCUAUUAUUUUAUGUAAUAACAUCUCCUUUGGAGCCUUGUUUAAAUGUACGCAAUGAAGAUCCAGAUUGUUGAAGCUGUAUCAA